CCGGCUUCCUUCCCAGGGUGGAGGAGUGUGGGCUUGAGUAGAGCUGGCACUCGUGCUGUGGUGACAGGUGUCACCUGAGGUCUGCCCACACCUCCAGGCGACUGUCGGGAGUGCGGGUCUAGAGCCAGCUCUGCCCUUGCCGUUGAGAACCCAGGGUGAGGUACUCAACGCCUCUGAGCCUCCAUUUCCUCGCUUGUCCAAUGGGGAUCAUACUUUUCCUGCCUCAGAAUGUGGAGAGGUUGAGCUGAGAUGGUGCAGGCAAGGGCUCUGCCCCACCCAGUGCCUUUGAUGCUGGAAGGAGCCCCGCCCGGUCCCACCUGCCCUGCUGCUCUGGGCCUGGGCCGGGGUUUCAGCCUUGGGCUCGGGCAGCUAGAUGGGGGCUUGGAGUGAACUCUGGCCUCACGUCAGCUGUGAGUGGGACAGGAGGCUGCUGAGUGGUCGAGACCUGCAGGCAGAAAGAAAUUCCUGGAGGAGGCACGUGAGGGGGCCACCAGCCUGUGCAGGGAACCGGGAAAACCGGCGGCCAGCCGCUCGCCCGAGGUGUGGAGGUCUGCCGUGAGGGAAGCACCUCGAAGCCCCCCUCUUCCAAGAGGCCCUCCCGGAUCAGCUCUGCCUGACUACGCGGGGGACGCUGCUUGGCUGCCAGGAGCUGCCCACCCAUCCUUCCAGGGUGAAGGCGGAGGUAGAGGCGGUGAUUCCCAGCAUGAAGUGACCGUGUGUACAAGCUUCGGAGUGGAGGUGUGUCUGCCCAGCCAGGAUGAUGCUCUGCGGGACCUUCCUGGGUGCGUACCUCCCCCCUCCCCACACUGAGCCCCCCCCCCCCCGGCAACCCCCGGCACCCCCCCACCCCCCGCCUCCGCCU
This 862-nucleotide long non-coding RNA is filed under the name Delphinapterus leucas (beluga whale). RNAcentral's name for it is "lncRNA (ENSDLEG00000005464.1)". The record is from RNAcentral. Lineage: Eukaryota; Metazoa; Chordata; Mammalia; Artiodactyla; Monodontidae.